This 770-nucleotide long non-coding RNA is filed under the name Homo sapiens (human). RNAcentral describes it as "HSALNT0166919". Lineage: Eukaryota; Metazoa; Chordata; Mammalia; Primates; Hominidae. The record is from RNAcentral.
AAUCCCCACCUCCCCCCACCCCCGAACCUCACGGCCACCCUGGGAAGGAGGCUUGACUUGUGACAUCCACCCCUCUUCACGGCUGAGGAACUUUGGCCCCGAGCGAGGAAGCGACCGGCCCACGGCCACACGCCCGGAGUGGGUAAAUAUCUACUCAUGGGAUUGCUGGGCUGUAUGGGGAAUUCCUUCAGGAGAAAAGCCAAAUAAAUGUGGAUAUCACCCAGUGUGAUUGGGCAGCAUCUUCUACUAUGUGCAUCUACAUUGGAUGGCAGUGGAGCAACACAGAUUGUUUUCUGACAAAAAUCAGCCAAGUACUAGGAGAGGCAGGACUUUAGAAGUGGAGGAGAUGGAGAAGGAAGCUUAGGUUACUAUGGAGUGUGCAAAAAGGUCCUGUGGAUUUAGAUACCACCACACACAAAUGGUGUUGUUGGAAGGUACCUGCCCAGAUAAGGACUGCAUUUCCUCUAGCAUCCAGAUGGGACCAAAUGACUGCUGGCCAAUAGAAGUGAGUGGAAAGGACUGACUCCAGUUCCAGGUUGGGCCUCCAACUGCUCUGGGCACGUCGAUGGAACAGAACACCACCUCCACCCCAAUACCACCAAUUCAACUUUACAUGAAUUAUAAGCGAGAAAUAACUUGGACUGUGUUAAGUCAUUGAGUUUCUGGGGUUUAACUGUUAUUAUAGUUAAGAAUGACUUUAACUAAUAUAGUCAAUGACAUCUAACUGGAGUUAUGAAAUUCAAUUUCUACUUAGAGUAAUUGAAGCAAAG